AGUGAACGCUGGCGGCAGGCCUAACACAUGCAAGUCGAACGGCAGCACAGUAAGAGCUUGCUCUUAUGGGUGGCGAGUGGCGGACGGGUGAGGAAUACAUCGGAAUCUACUCUUUCGUGGGGGAUAACGUAGGGAAACUUACGCUAAUACCGCAUACGACCUACGGGUGAAAGCGGAGGACCUUCGGGCUUCGCGCGAUUGAAUGAGCCGAUGUCGGAUUAGCUAGUUGGCGGGGUAAAGGCCCACCAAGGCGACGAUCCGUAGCUGGUCUGAGAGGAUGAUCAGCCACACUGGAACUGAGACACGGUCCAGACUCCUACGGGAGGCAGCAGUGGGGAAUAUUGGACAAUGGGCGCAAGCCUGAUCCAGCCAUGCCGCGUGGGUGAAGAAGGCCUUCGGGUUGUAAAGCCCUUUUGUUGGGAAAGAAAAGCAGUCGGUUAAUACCCGAUUGUUCUGACGGUACCCAAAGAAUAAGCACCGGCUAACUUCGUGCCAGCCGCCGCGGUAA
Molecule: ribosomal RNA, 508 nt
Filed under: uncultured bacterium
Lineage: Bacteria
Description: partial 16S ribosomal RNA
Rfam family: Bacterial small subunit ribosomal RNA
Source: RNAcentral